RNAcentral lists this ribosomal RNA (496 nucleotides) under uncultured bacterium. RNAcentral's name for it is "partial 16S ribosomal RNA". It matches the Rfam family "Bacterial small subunit ribosomal RNA", at positions 28 to 506 of the family's 1533-position model. The record is from RNAcentral.
GAUGAACGCUGGCGGCGUGCCUAAUACAUGCCAGUCGAGCGAACAGACGAGGAGCUUGCUCCUCUGACGUUAGCGGCGGACGGGUGAGUAACACGUGGAUAACCUACCUAUAAGACUGGGAUAACUUCGGGAAACCGGAGCUAAUACCGGAUAAUAUAUUGAACCGCAUGGUUCAAUAGUGAAAGACGGUUUUGCUGUCACUUAUAGAUGGAUCCGCGCCGCAUUAGCUAGUUGGUAAGGUAACGGCUUACCAAGGCGACGAUGCGUAGCCGACCUGAGAGGGUGAUCGGCCACACUGGAACUGAGACACGGUCCAGACUCCUACGGGAGGCAGAAGUAGGGAAUCUUCCGCAAUGGGCGAAAGCCUGACGGAGCAACGCCGCGUGAGUGAUGAAGGUCUUCGGAUCGUAAAACUCUGUUAUUAGGGAAGAACAAGUGUGUAAGUAACUAUGCACGUCUGGACGGUACCUAAUCAGAAAGCCACGGCUAACUACGU